RNAcentral lists this transfer RNA (71 nucleotides) under Blanus cinereus (Mediterranean worm lizard). Its description in RNAcentral is "tRNA-Tyr". It matches the Rfam family "tRNA". From Rfam's summary of the family: Transfer RNA (tRNA) molecules are approximately 80 nucleotides in length. The record is from RNAcentral. Lineage: Eukaryota; Metazoa; Chordata; Lepidosauria; Squamata; Blanidae.
GGUAGGGUGGCUGAGGGAAAAAGCAGGGGGCUGUAGACCCCCCAACGGAGGUUUAAGUCCUCUUCCUGCCA